AACACUAAUGCACACGCUCAUUUGGAAAUUCAUACUCUUUGACACAUAAAUAUAAUGUGAAACAAUAAGUCACGCAACAUUUUCCACAAAUGCACACGCUAAUUCUGAAGUUCACACUCUGUGGUUCACAAAUAUAAUUUGUAAGAACACUUGUAAUAUAAACUCACAGAUCAUACGAAUAGCUGAAUGUGCAUUUACGAACAGCUUCUCAUUUGUGAACCUUUCUGCGUUUGUGAGUGAAAUCUGUGUGGUGCAUUCACGAACAGCUUCUCAUUUGUGAACCUUCCUGCAUUCGUGAGAGAAAUCGGUGUGCUGAAUUUUGAGACUCUCCUAACGUCGCAGAUCAACAAACGUCACCAUUGGCUAACGAAUCUGUCAAUCAAAUAUAUGAUUCUGCCAGGGCUGUUCGAUUUCAGCCAGUCAUAUGGCUCCUUAUAUUACGGAACAGAUCUGCUGUGCGCAUGCGUAUUGCAGUUCACAUGGCAGAGCGGGAUGGACCGGUCACAAUCUGUGAGUAACAGUUUUAUCUUAUUCCCUCGUUGUAAUUUAUGCAAUGUUAUAGAAUUAUGAGUAGAAGCGUUCUUCAUGGUCAAGUAAAAUGUUUUAUGUUAAAUUCAGUCCAGACGUUACGUGAAGUCUGGUACAUUCUUCAUCUAGUUUAACAUCAAGCUAAACUCAGGCGAACAUUUGUUAGUUAGCGUGUCUAGGUACCAUUUUUUUAGGCCACGGUUGUCAAACUCAAGCCCUUGGUCUAUUUUUUUUUGCCCCGCGAAAUCAAAUAUCAAAUAUAUAAUAUUAAAACUGGCCCGCCGGGUGAUUUUGCAGAUAAGACUACUAAUCCCACAGUGCUUUGCAGCGUUUGCGCGCGAGACGAAGCAAGCCCUCUUUUAUGUUUACGAUCAUUAGCAUCCAUGCUAGUAGAAUCAGCGUGUGCAGCGUUACCCUCAGUCUUAAACAACUGAAGAUACUCCUCUAAGCGCCCAGUUUACUCAGCGAGUUUCCGACUUUGAACGCCUAGAAAGAAGGUAUCUGGUUGGAAAAGGUGACCAUCAGAUUGGAGCGAACUGAGCUUGAAAUAUUUAAUUGUCAUGCACUUUUUCUGCUCCAAAGCAUGAAAGUUAAUAACUGAGAUAUUUUCAUAGAAGAUAAUUGCUAUUUUUGGUUUUUGUUGUUGGCCUGUGAAAAAAAGAUUAAACUUACUCUAAAAUGGGAACUGGACAGACUACAAAUUGAAGAAUAGAAUAGAAAAUCCCUUUAUUGUCCCUCAGUGGGGAAACUGUGGUGUCACAGCAGCAAUAACGUUCAUUACAGGAGCCAAACAGGAGAGUAAAACAUAAUAAUAAAGAGUAAACUAAAAGAAAACAUAAAACAGACAAACUUAAAAUAUCCAAAAGGUAAAACAAUCUAAAUACUGAAUAUGUACACAUUGUAAGGAGUAAAAAGAGUAAAUAAAAAUUGAGACAUAAGUAACGAGUGAUGUGUUUUAUUUAAAACACGUGUGUAAUUUGGUCAUAUCAGAUUCUGUGUUCAGAUGCAAAAAUAAGUUUCUUUCCAAUUGAAUAACAAGACAUCUGUAAAUAAACUUUUCAAUAAAUAUUGAGUUUGGGCCGCAAUUUUGUCCCAGUUUUUAAUUUGGUCCUAUUGUGAAUUUGAGUUUGACACCCCUGCUUUAGGCUGUGCGUGCAGUAAUAAGGAGACAGACACUGGCUGAGCCAGUGCAUAAAUGUUUGAUUUUCUGGCGGUGGGCAAUAGUUAAAGAAAUAUUUUUUUUUUAAAUAAAAUACAUCUUUAAAUUUUGGCCAAUGAGCUCUGGCACAUAAUAAACAGAAAUACUGCUUCAUCAUUUCAUGUACCUUUGAAUCUACAGUUGGUCUUAUUUAAAAAUGUUUUUUUAUUAAAACUAGCAUAGCUGGAGUGUUAAAAAAAUAAAAGUGCCAUAAGAUAUUUGGAAGUUGUUAUUUUAUUUCUAUUACCCAACAGUUAUCCAAUUCAUGUUUGUUCAGUUUUUUUUUUUUUUUUUUUUUUUUCCCUCUAGGAAUCAUUGAGGCUUGACAUCCUUCAAAGGUUGUACGAUCGACUGUCAAGCAUCUUGGAGAGGCAACCUGUUGAUGGGGAAGGGCUACAGUUUGCUUGUCACCAUUAUUUAGUUUUAUUAGGUGCUCUAGGUGACAUUGUUGAUGUAGGAGAGGAUAUACUUUCUGCUCUUUCAGAUCUGAAUACUAUUAUCCAGCAGGAAAGAGAUAAUCAAAAGGCAUUAAUAACGGUACACGUUGAAAGAGGUUCUCGUGGCCGCCCACGACUGGCGGUGUCGCGAGAGGCUCUCGAACACCUUGUGGAAAUGGGUCUGCCAACAAGUGUCAUUACCAAACUCCUUGGUGUAUCCAGAGUAACUCUAUUUAGACGGAUGUCUGAAAAUAUUAUACCUGUAUCUGCCACAUACAGUAAAUGCAGUUAUGAGGAACUAGAUUCAUUUAUCACAGUAAUUAAGAGCAACAUGCCAGAUGCUGGGUACAGGGUAGUCCGAGGUGCUCUACUUCCCCAGGGACAUAGAGUACAGUGGGACCGACUGUAUGCAUCGUGUGGACAGUGCGGGUGUACUUGCUCGAAUGACAUGUCUGGGAUGUGUAGUGAGAAGGACGUACACAGUUCCUUGCCCAAAGUAUAUGGUGCACAUUGACAUCAGGUAAUGUCUGUGUGUAAUUGGAGAUGUUAUUUUUUGUUUUGGGAGUUGCAUUUUUAAUUGUCUGUGUUUUAACAGGUACAAUUUUAUUAUCUUUGGGGGAAUAGACGGCUAUUCAAGGAAGAUCAUGUACCUGAAGGUAGCUGACAACAACCGGGCAGACACCCACCUUGCCUCUUCAGUGAAGCUGUGAAUGAGCAUGGCUUUCCUCUGAGGGUGAGAGGAGAUCAUGGCAGAGAAAAUGCAGGUGAUGCAGAAUUAAUGUUCUCAGUUCGUGGAACUGACACCAACAGCUUCAUUGCAGGAAAAAGUGUACACAAUCAGCGGUGAGUUUAACCUAAUUUGGAAGCUUUGUGUGUGUGUGCGCGCGUGCCUGUGCCUGUUGACCUGCCCAGGGUGUACCCUUCGUCUCACACUUUGACUGCUGGAGAUAGGCACCAGUCCCCCUGUGACCAUUCAAAAGAUAACUCAAGUUGAAAAUGGAUGAAUGGACAUGUAAAUGUGUGUGUAUAUUUUAAUUUUCUUUUAUUUAAUCCCCCUCCAAAUCCAGAAUUGAGCGCCUCUGACGUGAUGUCUUCAUGAGUGUUACUGGUUUAUAUUAGAACAUCCUGCACUCUCUGGAAGACCAAGACUUGCUCGACAUCAGUAACAUCCUUCACCUGUUUUGUUGCCACUAUAUUUUCUUGUCUCGCAUCCAGGCCAGCCUGGAUGUCUUUAGAGAUGCAUGGGACAACCAUCCAAUCAGGACAGAGGAAAACAUGACACCAAAUCAGCUGUGGCAUCUGGGCCAGGCUCUGAAUCCUGUUUCUGAUCCAGGGGCAAAUAGUAUACCGAUACCAGAGAUUGAAUGGGAGGAAAAUGGAUACAUGACUGAACCUCAUCCUGGGAUCAAUGUCCCUGUACUGGACAGUCCUCUUUCAGAUCAUGAAAUGUUGGAACUGCAGGACAGCAUUAAUCCGUUGCAACAUUUAGAC
Non-coding RNA from Nothobranchius furzeri (turquoise killifish), 3654 nucleotides. NCBI's taxonomy places the organism in Eukaryota, Metazoa, Chordata, Actinopteri, Cyprinodontiformes, Nothobranchiidae. The record is from RefSeq and is a predicted model, not a curated record.